RNAcentral lists this long non-coding RNA (1328 nucleotides) under Brachypodium distachyon (stiff brome). RNAcentral's name for it is "long non-coding RNA (BDIS_LNC000199)". Lineage: Eukaryota; Viridiplantae; Streptophyta; Magnoliopsida; Poales; Poaceae. The record is from RNAcentral.
AGUUUCCCAGCCGGCCGCGGGGUUGGUAAAAAGAAGAGCUAGCCAACAUGUUAGGGCACCAUCGGGGAUGCACGCAUGAUUUGUACGGAUGUCAGAGAUUGGCACCAACUAACUGUACGUCAUUAGCCGGUUGGAGCAUUGCAUUAGCGAGUACGGGCAGUGUAACAUGCACGCUAAGCGGCCUCGGAAGCCUGGAAAGGGACCUGAUUAGCCAACUGAAAGUGAGAAAUUUAAAAAAUAUAUAGAUCCAUGCAUGUUAGAUCACUCCAUCAGUGGGAUAGCACUUCCAUCGCUCUGUCGAUCCACAGAGUAACUAUAUAUAGUUGCUGAUGCAAUCCAUUUGCUGGUUAAGUGUAUCUAUGGUACGGCUUCUUUUGCUAUUUUUAACAAAAAAGAUUCCCUAGAUUCAUACCUUUAACAUAGGAUCAACAUGGCAUGUUCAGUACACCACGGCACAGCUGUGGUGAAGGCAAUUUGGACAAUAUAGGAAAUAAUCGAUCGAUCUCGGGUUCCUAUUCUUGGUAAUUCUUGGCAUAUUUGCACAACCAAAGUUAUCAUAAUUAACUCUGUUGAGAUAUGUUUUUUUUAGUGCAACCAAACAAUUGAUAAGCAAUGCAAAAAUAAUACUACGACACCACGGGCAUGUUAAUGUUCAGACUAAUGUCUUUUCUGUACUACUGACUUGUGGGAAGAACAACAAGCGUGACGGAAAAACUGGUUGAUAUAACUAUGGCAGAGAUCCACUAAGCACAAAAAAAAAUCCCCACAUCUCUUUCAUCUCCUAAAGACUCUGUGGUAAGAAAAAGAAAAAAAAUACUCCAUUAAAAACACUAGCAGAUCUGUCCGUUGAGAAGGAGAAACAACGUUUUUUCCUUUCUUUCUGUUGACUUUCUACACACUGACCUAGUUUAGUUUGGUUGGAGCAGUAGAUACAAAAUCUACCCAGCUGAGAUUAAUUAAUUAAAUUCUCGUGGAUAUGAAUUUAAAGUCCUAUUUACGUUGUACCUAACAGUCGUCUUACCGUUUAAAUUAAAAAACAAUGAUCCUCCGUACAUCUCUUCCAAAAAAUAAAAUAAUCAAUGACACAUUCCCGUACGUGGACAAAAACACGUGUGUACAUAGUAGAUGGGUAUUAACGUCACAUGCAUGACGUACGUCCGCAGGUAGCCAUACUGUACAGCCCGGCAUAAAAAAAAAAUCUCGUGUGGUUCAGCCAUGCGCGCAUGCAUGAGCCAGAUCUUGCUGCAGCUCGGCCAUACGUACAGAGUAGCUACAUGCUGUCAUGCACCUACACUGUUUGCCUACUCCGCAGUAAUCCCAGAUCAGAC